RNAcentral lists this ribosomal RNA (479 nucleotides) under uncultured bacterium. Its description in RNAcentral is "partial 16S ribosomal RNA". It matches the Rfam family "Bacterial small subunit ribosomal RNA", at positions 28 to 507 of the family's 1533-position model. The record is from RNAcentral.
GACGAACGCUGGCGGCGCGCUUAACACAUGCAAGUCGAGCGAAGAAAUUUGGACAGAUCCCUUCGGGGUGAAGAUGCGAUGGGUUAACGGCGGAGGGGUGAGUAACACGUGAGUAACCUGCCUUUGUCAUUGGGAUAGACUCGGGAAACAGGGAUUAAUACCAAAGGACAGUAACUGAUCACAUGAUCAAUUAGUACAAGCAAUUCGGUGAAAGAUGGACUCGCGGGGGAUUAGCUAGUGGGGGAGGUAACGGCCCACCAGGGUGAGGAUCAGUAGCCGGGCUGUGAGGCUGAGCGGCGACAUUGAAACUGAGACGCGGUAGCAACUCCUACGGGAGGCAGCAGUGCGGAAUAUUGCACAAUCGGGGAAGCGCUGAUGAUGUGGGGCUGCGGGAGCUAAGAUGUUCUUGGAGUCGAAAAGCUCUUGUAUUUGGGAAGGUAAUGACGGUACCUCAAGAAAAAGCCCCGGCUAACUACGUG